Molecule: ribosomal RNA, 245 nt
Filed under: uncultured bacterium
Lineage: Bacteria
Description: partial 16S ribosomal RNA
Rfam family: Bacterial small subunit ribosomal RNA
Source: RNAcentral
UACGGAGGUGGCAAGCGUUACUCGGAAUCAUUGGGUGUAAAGGGCAAGUAGGCGGCCUAAUAAGUGAGGGGUGAAAUCCUGCGGCUCAAUCGCAGAAUGGCCUUUCAAACUGUUGGGCUUGAGGGUGGGAGAGGAAAGCGGAAUUCUCGGUGUAAGGGUGAAAUCUGUAGAGAUCGAGAAGAACACCAGCGGCGAAGGCGGCUUUCUGGCCCAUACCUGACGCUGAAUUGCGAAAGCUAGGGGAG